RNAcentral lists this ribosomal RNA (292 nucleotides) under uncultured bacterium. RNAcentral's name for it is "partial 16S ribosomal RNA". It matches the Rfam family "Bacterial small subunit ribosomal RNA", at positions 505 to 796 of the family's 1533-position model. The record is from RNAcentral.
GUGCCAGCCGCCGCGGUAAUACGGAGGGUGCAAGCGUUAAUCGGAAUUACUGGGCGUAAAGCGCACGCAGGCGGCUUUUUAAGUCGGAUGUGAAAGCCCCGGGCUCAACCUGGGAAUUGCAUUCGAUACUGGGGAGCUAGAGUAUGUGAGAGGGGGGUAGAAUUCCAAGUGUAGCGGUGAAAUGCGUAGAGAUUUGGAGGAAUACCAGUGGCGAAGGCGGCCCCCUGGCACAAUACUGACGCUCAGGUGCGAAAGCGUGGGGAGCAAACAGGAUUAGAUACCCGGGUAGUCC